UUCUUGAGCCAUGGUCAAGGUUCUCUCCGUCCCAUGACGGAGAGCGAAGAGGGAAUCCGGUGCGGCGCCCCUGCGUCAAGGCCGGAGCUGUCCCCGCAACUGUAAGCGACGAGUCAUCCCUCGCUCCGCGUCACUGGUGAGGUGUCACCGGGAAGACCAGAGGGAUGGCAGCGACCCGCGAGCCAGGAGACCUGCCUUGACCGUGACAUGUCU
Molecule: non-coding RNA, 213 nt
Filed under: Methylobacterium nodulans
Lineage: Bacteria; Pseudomonadati; Pseudomonadota; Alphaproteobacteria; Hyphomicrobiales; Methylobacteriaceae
Also listed under: 1 other name
Source: RNAcentral